UGCCCCUNGAUAAAAAUUAAAGGGCUGCAGUAUAUUGACUGUACAAAGGUAGCAUAAUCAUUAGUCAUUUAAUUGAUGACUUGUAUGAAUGAUUUGAUGAGAUGUGAGCUGUCUUAAGAUAAAUUUUUAAAAAUUAAUUUUUUAGUUAAAAAGCUAAAAUAAAUUAAAAAGACGAGAAGACCCUAUAGAGUUUUAUUAUAGUUUAAUAUUAUUGAUUUUUGUUAUUGUUUAAGAUAAGUUUUAAUUUAUAAUUUUAUUGGGGUGAUAGAAAAAUUUAAUUAACUUUUUUUUUAUUUGAACAUAAAUAAAUGAAUUUUUGAUCCAAUUUUAUUGAUUAUAAGAAUAAAUUACCUUAGGGAUAACAGCGUAAUUUUUUUUUUUAGUUCGUAUAAAAAAAAAAGUUUGCGACCUCGAUGUUGGAUUAAGAUAAAAUUUAAAUGAAGGAGUUUAAA
Molecule: ribosomal RNA, 452 nt
Filed under: Micromorphe linta
Lineage: Eukaryota; Metazoa; Arthropoda; Insecta; Lepidoptera; Erebidae
Description: partial large subunit ribosomal RNA
Source: RNAcentral